RNAcentral lists this ribosomal RNA (253 nucleotides) under uncultured bacterium. RNAcentral's name for it is "partial 16S ribosomal RNA". It matches the Rfam family "Bacterial small subunit ribosomal RNA", at positions 524 to 776 of the family's 1533-position model. The record is from RNAcentral.
GACGUAGGGCGCGAGCGUUGUCCGGAUUUAUUGGGCGUAAAGAGCUCGUAGGCGGUUUGUCGCGUCUGCUGUGAAAUCCCGAGGCUCAACCUCGGGCCUGCAGUGGGUACGGGCAGACUUGAGUGGUGUAGGGGAGACUGGAAUUCCUGGUGUAGCGGUGAAAUGCGCAGAUAUCAGGAGGAACACCGGUGGCGAAGGCGGGUCUCUGGGCCGAUACUGACGCUGAGGAGCGAAAGCGUGGGGAGCGAACAGG